RNAcentral lists this transfer RNA (85 nucleotides) under Bdellovibrionales bacterium. RNAcentral describes it as "tRNA-Leu". It matches the Rfam family "tRNA". Rfam says of the family: Transfer RNA (tRNA) molecules are approximately 80 nucleotides in length. Their secondary structure includes four short double-helical elements and three loops (D, anti-codon, and T loops). Further hydrogen bonds mediate the characteristic L-shaped molecular structure. tRNAs have two regions of fundamental functional importance: the anti-codon, which is responsible for specific mRNA codon recognition, and the 3' end, to which the tRNAs corresponding amino acid is attached (by aminoacyl-tRNA synthetases). tRNAs cope with the degeneracy of the genetic code in two manners: having more than one tRNA (with a specific anti-codon) for a particular amino acid; and 'wobble' base-pairing, i.e. permitting non-standard base-pairing at the 3rd anti-codon position. The record is from RNAcentral. Lineage: Bacteria; Pseudomonadati; Bdellovibrionota; Bdellovibrionia; Bdellovibrionales.
GCCCUCGUGGUGGAAUUGGUAGACACGCUGGUCUUAGAAGCCAGUGCCGUAAGGCGUAGCUGUUCGAGUCAGCUCGAGGGCACCA